CAAUAGCGUAUAUUAAAGUUGUUGCAGUUAAAAAGCUCGUAGUUGGAUUUCUGUUCUCGGGGAUUGGUCCGCCUCACGGUGAGCACUGGUAUCCUGGGGACAUCCUCUCGAAGGCGGGUGGUGCACUUAAUUGUGUGCUGCUUGGAUUCGGGACCUUUACUUUGAAAAAAUUAGAGUGUUCAAAGCAGGCGUCGGCUUGAAUACAUUAGCAUGGAAUAAUGGAAUAGGACUUUGGUUCUAUUUUGUUGGUUUCUAGGACCGAAGUAAUGAUUAAUAGGGAUAGUUGGGGGUGCUAGUAUUGAGCGGCCAGAGGUGAAAUUCUUGGAUUCGCUCAAGACUAACUUAUGCGAAAGCAUUCACCAAGGAUGUCUUCUUUAAUCAAGAACGAAAGUUGGGGGAGUCGAAGAUGAUUAGAUACCAU
RNAcentral lists this ribosomal RNA (421 nucleotides) under uncultured eukaryote. Its description in RNAcentral is "bacterial SSU rRNA". It matches the Rfam family "Eukaryotic small subunit ribosomal RNA", at positions 592 to 1018 of the family's 1831-position model. The record is from RNAcentral.